RNAcentral lists this ribosomal RNA (196 nucleotides) under uncultured bacterium. RNAcentral's name for it is "partial 16S ribosomal RNA". It matches the Rfam family "Bacterial small subunit ribosomal RNA", at positions 328 to 539 of the family's 1533-position model. The record is from RNAcentral.
ACGCUCGACACCUACGGGAGCAGCAGUGGGGAAUAUUGCACAAUGGGGGAAACCCUGAUGCAGCGACGCCGCGUGAGUGAAGAAGUAUUUCGGUAUGUAAAGCUCUAUCAGCAGGGAAGAAAAUGACGGUACCUGACUAAGAAGCCCCGGCUAACUACGUGCCACAGCCGCGGUAAUCUGAGCGGGCUGGCAAGGC